GGCCAAGAUUUUAUGCCACAAACACAAGGUGUAAAUAUUUUUUUUGUACACCAGAUCUAGAUUUCGACAAUAUAUGUCUCUUCAGUGAUGUUAGGGAUCGAAACGGUAUUUAGAAGGCCAUAUAAUGUACCUUCAAUUUCAGAUAGACUCUUGAAUUUUAAGAGUCAAUAUAGGAUGAACGGAUCAUAUAAUCCGGAGGGAAAAUAUGAUACAAGCCCAAACGAAAAAAUAUAAACGAGUCUGAAUUGAAAACUACGUUCAAACCUAUGAUUGCGUUGGAUAAAAACCGCAAUUUUUAUACGUGUGCAUGUAAAACAAAUUUUGUUGUAGAAGGGUCUAAAUACAGCACAAACAGCAUUUUCCAAAAGACCAAAAAAGUGAAAAGUAUAUUUAAACAAAACACAUUUGACUAACAGGUCAAACAACUGAUGUUCUUUAACCCUGCUGACUGCCAUUGGCAAUUGCCAAAUAAAAUUGAUCACGAGAUGUAACAAAAUGGAUCUUAAUAUAAAUUUAAUACUAAACAGAAAACGAUAACUUGUGGCCAAGAUGUUAUGCCACAAACACAAGGUGUCAAUAUUUUUUUUUUGUACACCAGCUCUAGAUUUCGACAAUAUACAUUGUAUGUCUCUUUAGUGAUGUUAGGGAUCGAAACGGUAUUUGGAAGGCCAUACAAUUUACCCUCAAUUUCAGAUAGACUCUUGAAUUUUAAGAGUCAAUAUAGGAUGAAAGGAUCAUAUAAUCCGGAGAGAAAAUAUGAUACAACAAACGAAAAAUAUAAACGAGUCUGAAUUGAAAACUACGUUCAAACCUACGAUUGCGUUGGAUAAAAACCGCUAUUUUUAUACGUGUGCAUGUAAAACAAAUUUCGUUGUAGAAGGGUCUAAAUACAGCACAAACAGCAUUUUCCAAAAGACCAAAAAAGUGAAAAAGUAUAUUUAAACAAAACACAUUUGACUAACAGGUCAAACAACUGAUGUUCUUAAACCCUGCUGACUGCCAUUGGCAAUUGCCAAAUAAAAUUGAUCACGAGAUGUAACAAAAUGGAUCUUAAUAUAAAUUUAAUACUAAACAGAAAACGAUAAACUUGUGGCCAAGAUGUUAUGCCACAAACACAAGGUGUCAAUAUUUUUUUUUUUGUACACCAGCUCUAGAUUUCGACAAUAUACAUUGUUUGUCUCUUUAGUGAUGUUAGGGAUCGAAACGGUAUUUGGAAGGCCAUACAAUUUACCCUCAAUUUCAGAUAGACUCUUGAAUUUUAAGAGUCAAUAUAGGGUGAAAGGAUCAUAUAAUCCGGAGAGAAAAUAUGAUACAAGCCCAAACGAAAAAUAUAAACGAGUCUAAAUUGAAAACUACGUUCAAACCUAUGAUUGCGUUGGAUAAAAACCGCUAUUUUUAUACGUGUGCAUGUAAAACAAAUUUCGUUGUAGAAGGGUCUAAAUACAGCACAAACAGCAUUUUCCAAAAGACAAAAAAAGUGAAAAAGUAUAUUUAAACAAAACGCAUUUGACUCACAGGUCAACAACUGAUGUUCUUAACCCUGCUGACUGCCAUUGGCGAUUGCCAAAAUAAAAUUGAUCACGAAGAUGUAACAAAAUGGAUCUUAAUAUAAAUUUAAUACUAAACAGAAAACGAUAAACUUGUGACCAAGAUGUUAUGCCACAAACACAAGGUGUCAAUAUUUUUUUUGUACACCAGAUCUAGAUUUCGACAAUAUAUGUCUCUUCAGUGAUGUUAGGGAUCGAAACGGUAUUUGAAAGGCCAUAUUUACCCUCAAUUUCAGAUAGACUCUUGAAUUUUAAGAGUCAAAUAGGAUGAAAGGAUCAUAUAACCGGAGAGAAAUAUGAUACAAGUUCCAAACGAAAAUAUAAACGAGUCUGAAUUGAAAACUACGUUCAAACCUAUGAUUGCGUUGGAUAAAACCGUAAUUUUGAUACGUGUGCAUGUAAAACAAAUUUCGUUGUAGAUGGGUCUAAACAGCACAAACAACAUUUUCCAAAAGAGACAAAAAAGUGAAAAAGUAUAUUAAACAAACGCAUUUGACUAACAGGUCGAAACAACUGAUGUUCUUAAAACCCUGCUGACUGCCAUUGGCGAUUGCCAAAUAAAAUUGAUCACGAGAUGUAACAAAUGGAUUUUAAUAUAAAUUUAAUACUAAACAGAAAACGAUAAACUUGUGGCCAAGAUGUAUGCCACAAACACAAGGUUCAAUAUUUUUUUUUGUACACCAGAUCUAGAAUUUCGACAAUAUACAUGUUUGUCUCUCUAGUGAGUGUAAGGGAUGAAAAGGUAUUUGGAAGGCCAUACAAUUUACCCUCAAUUUCAGAUAGACUCUUGAAUUUAAGAGUCAAUAUAGGAUGAAAGGAUCAUAUAAACCGGAGGAAAAUAUGAUACAAGCCCAAACGAAAAAAUAUAAACGAGUCUAAAUUGAAAACUACGUUCAAACCUAUGAUUGCGUUGGAUAAAAACCGCAAUUUUUAUAUGUGUUAAUGUAAAACAAAUUUCGUUGUAGAAGGGUCUAAAUAACAGCACAAACAACAUUUUCCAAAAGACCAAAAAAGUGAAAAAGUAUAUUUAAACAAAACGCAUUUGACUAACAGGUCGAACAACUGAUGUUCUUAAACCCUGCUGACUGCCAUUGGCGAUUGCCAAAUAAAAUUGAUCACAAGAUGUAACAAAAUGGAUCUUAAUAUAAAUUUAAUACUAAACAGAAAAAAUAACUUGUGGCCAAGAUGUUAUGCCACAAACAUAAGGUGUCAAUAUUUUUUUUUUGUACACAGACAGAUUUCGACAAUAUAUGUCUCUUCAGUGAUGUUAGGGAUCGAAACGGUAUUUGGAAGGCCAUAUUUUUACCCUCAAUUUUUAGAUAAGACUCUUGAAUUUUAAGAGUCAAUAUAGGAUGAACGGAUCAUAUAAACCGGAGGGAAAAUAUGAUACAAGCCCAAACGAAAAAAUAUAAACGAGUCUAAUUGAAAACUACGUUCAAACCUAUGAUUGCGUUGGAUAAAAACCGCAAUUUUUUAUACGUGUGCAUGUAAAACAAAUUUCGUUGUAGAAGGGUCUAAAAACAGCACAAACAACAUUUUCCAAAAGACCAAAAAAGUGAAAAAGUAUAUUUAAACAAAACGCAUUUGACUAACAGGUCGAACAACUGAUGUUCUUUAACCCUGCUGACUGCCAUUGGCGAUUGCCAAAUAAAAUUGAUCACAAGAUGUAACAAAAUGGAUCUUAAUAUAAAUUUAAUACUAAACAGAAAACGAUUAACUUGUGGCCAAGAUGUUAUGCCACAAACAUCACGGUGUCAAUUUUUUUUUUAGUACACCAGAUCUAGAUUUCGACAAUAUAUGUCUCUUCAGUGAUGUUAGGGAUCGAAACGGUAUUUGGAAGGCCAUAUAAUUUACCCUCAAUUUUAGAUAGACUCUUGAAUUUUAAGAGUCAAUAUAGGAUGAACGGAUCAUAUAAACCGGAGGGAAAAUAUGAUACAAGCCCAAACGAAAAAAUAUAAACGAGUCUAAAUUGAAAACUACGUUCAAACCUAUGAUUGCGUUGGAUAAAAACCGCAAUUUUUAUACGUGUGCAUGUAAAACAAAUUUCGUUGUAGAAGGGUCUAAAAACAGCACAAACAACAUUUUCCAAAAGACCAAAAAGUGAAAAAGUAUAUUUAAACAAAACGCAUUUGACUAACAGGUCGAACAACUGAUGUUCUUUAACCCUGC
This 3716-nucleotide long non-coding RNA is filed under the name Mytilus galloprovincialis (Mediterranean mussel). The record is from RNAcentral. Lineage: Eukaryota; Metazoa; Mollusca; Bivalvia; Mytilida; Mytilidae.